RNAcentral lists this ribosomal RNA (526 nucleotides) under uncultured bacterium. RNAcentral's name for it is "bacterial SSU rRNA". It matches the Rfam family "Bacterial small subunit ribosomal RNA", at positions 355 to 896 of the family's 1533-position model. The record is from RNAcentral.
UAGGGAAUAUUGCACAAUGGGCGAAAGCCUGAUGCAGCAACGCUGCGUGCGCGAAGAAGGCCUUCGGGUCGUAAAGCGCUUUUCGGGGAGAUGAGGAAGGACAGUAUCCCCGGAAUAAGGCUCGGCUAACUACGUGCCAGCAGCCGCGGUAACACGUAGGAGCCAAGCGUUAUCCGAAUUCACUGGGCGUAAAGCGCGUGUAGGCGGCUUGAUAAGUUGGAUGUAAAAGCUCCUGGCUCAACUGGGAGAGGACGUUCAAUACUGUCAGGCUAGAGGACGGCAGAGGGAGGUGGAAUUCCCGGUGUAGUGGUGAAAUGCGUAGAUAUCGGGAGGAACACCAGUGGCGAAGGCGGCCUUCUGGGCCGUUACUGACGCUCAGACGCGAAAGCUAGGGGAGCGAACGGGAUUAGAAACCCCGGUAGUCCUAGCCGUAAACGAUGUAGACUUGGUGUAGGUGGUGUAAAAGCCAUCGGUGCCGAAGCUAACGCGAUAAGUCUACCGCCUGGGGACUACGGCCGCAAGGUUA